CUCGUUGGCCUCAGCCUUGGACUCUUCUUCAUCCUCAUCCUCCUUGUUACCGUCAGCCUCAGACUCUUCCUCAUCCUCAUCCUUAUCUUCAUCCUCAUCCUCCUUACCCUCAGCCUUGGACUCUUCCUCAUCCUCGUCCUCAUCCUCAUCACUGUGUUCAUCCUCAUCCUCAUCAUUGUCUUCAUCCUCAUCCUCGUUACCCUCAGCCUCGGACUCUUCCUCAUCCUCAUCCUCAUCACUGUCUUCAUCCUCGUCCUCCUCGUUACCCUCAGCCUCGGACUCUUCCUCAUCCUCGUCCUCGUCCUCAUCACUGUGUUCAUCCUCGUCCUCCUCGUUACCCUCAGCCUCGGACUCUUCCUCAUCCUCGUCCUCAUCCUCAUCAUUGUCUUCAUCCUCAUCCUCCUUGUUACUGUCAGCCUCGGACUCUUCUUCAUCCUCAUCCUCAUCCUCAUCAUUGUCUUCAUCCUCGUCCUUAUCUCCAUCCUCGUCCUUAUCUCCAUCCUCAUCCUCCUCGUUGCUGUCUCCCUCAGACUCUUCCUCAUCCUCAUCCUCAUCCUCAUCAUUGUCUUCAUCUUCAUCCUCCCUGGCCUCAGCCUUGGACUACUCCUCAUCCUCAUCAUUGUCUUCAUCCUCGUCCUCCUUACCCUCAGCCUCGGACUCUUCUUCAUCCUCAUCCUCAUC
RNAcentral lists this long non-coding RNA (681 nucleotides) under Chloebia gouldiae (Gouldian finch). Its description in RNAcentral is "Erythrura gouldiae (Gouldian finch) lncRNA (ENSEGOG00005010915.1)". Lineage: Eukaryota; Metazoa; Chordata; Aves; Passeriformes; Passeridae. The record is from RNAcentral.